This 496-nucleotide ribosomal RNA is filed under the name uncultured bacterium. RNAcentral describes it as "partial 16S ribosomal RNA". It matches the Rfam family "Bacterial small subunit ribosomal RNA", at positions 28 to 506 of the family's 1533-position model. The record is from RNAcentral.
GAUGAACGCUGGCGGCGUGCCUAAUACAUGCAAGUCGAGCGAACGGACGAGAAGCUUGCUUCUCUGAUGUUAGCGGCGGACGGGUGAGUAACACGUGGAUAACCUACCUAUAAGACUGGGAUAACUUCGGGAAACCGGAGCUAAUACCGGAUAAUAUUUUGAACCGCAUGGUUCAAAAGUGAAAGACGGUCUUGCUGUCACUUAUAGAUGGAUCCGCGCUGCAUUAGCUAGUUGGUAAGGUAACGGCUUACCAAGGCAACGAUGCAUAGCCGACCUGAGAGGGUGUUCGGCCACUCUGGAGCUGAGCCACGGUCCAGACUCCUACGGGAGGCAGCGGUAGGGACGCUUCCGCACUGGGCGAAAGCCUGACGGAGCAACGCCGCGCGAGUGAUGAAGGUCUUCGGGUCGUAAAACGCUGUUCUUGGUGAAGAACAUAUGUGUAAGUAACUGUGCACAUCUGGCCGGUACCUAAACAGAAAGCCCCGGUUAACUCCUU